AACCAAGGUGGUUGAGUUAUAUUUGCUACGGUAAAAAGACAGUUAAAUACUUAAAGAAAAGUUUAUUAAAUAUUUAUAAAAAGGUAGAAUUUGUAUAUAAAUAUAUAACUUAAGUAUAGCUUAUGCAUUGAAGCUGUGAUAGCCUUGAGGGAAACUGGGAUUAGAUACCCCAUUAUUCUUGGCUGUAAAUAAAUAAAGAUUUACCAGAGUACUAUGAAUUUAAGAAUUUAAAACUCAAAGGGCUUGGCGGUGUUUUAGACCUUUCAGGGGAACCUGUCUCAUAAUCGACAAUCCACGUUACACCUAACCUUUUUUUGCUUUCAGUAUGUAUACCGUCGUCGUCAGGUAACUUUUAAAAAGUAAGAAGUUAGCAAGAAAACUAAAUUGGUUUUAACGUCAGAUCAAGGUGCAGCUUAUAAGAAGGUGAGGAUGGGUUACAAUUAUAAAAUUAUAACUACGAAACAACUAUCUGAAAAAAUAAUUGUGAAGGAGGACUUGAAAGUAAAUUGGUAUAUAUAAACGUUUUGAAUAAGGCUCUGAAACGUGC
Molecule: ribosomal RNA, 547 nt
Filed under: Typhina coronata
Lineage: Eukaryota; Metazoa; Mollusca; Gastropoda; Neogastropoda; Muricidae
Description: partial 12S ribosomal RNA
Source: RNAcentral